GGGCACGUAGCUCAGCGGAUAGAGCGUUCGCCUCCGGAGCGAAAGGUCGUGGGUUCGAUCCCCGCCGUGCCCA
RNAcentral lists this transfer RNA (73 nucleotides) under Gloeobacter violaceus PCC 7421. RNAcentral describes it as "tRNA-Arg (CCG) (tRNA-Arg-CCG-1-1)". It matches the Rfam family "tRNA". Rfam says of the family: Transfer RNA (tRNA) molecules are approximately 80 nucleotides in length. Their secondary structure includes four short double-helical elements and three loops (D, anti-codon, and T loops). The record is from Rfam by way of RNAcentral. Lineage: Bacteria; Bacillati; Cyanobacteriota; Cyanophyceae; Gloeobacterales; Gloeobacteraceae.